GUUUACGUAGGUGAACCUGCGGAGGGAUCAUUACCGAGUUUACAACUCCCAAACCCCAUGUGAACUUAUACCCUUUUCCUGUUGCCUCGGCGGGUCAUUUGCCCCGGACCGGGCUCGUCCAGAGCCCGCCCGGAAACAGGCGCCCGCCGCGGGACCGAAACUCUGUAUCUCUUAGCCUUUGGCACGUCUGAGUGGAAUCAUACAAAAAUGAAUCAAAACUUCCAACAACGGAUCUCAGGUUCUGGCAUCGAUGAAGAACGCAGCGAAAUGCGAUAAGUAAUGUGAAUUGCAGAAUUCAGUGAAUCAUCGAAUCUUUGAACGCACAUUGCGCCCGCCAGUAUUCUGGCGGGCAUGCCUGUUCGAGCGUCAUUUCAACGCUCAAGCCCCCGCGGUUUGGUGUUGGGGGCCGGCGAUUGUCAGCUGGGCCGCUCAGGUUCCCUGCGGCGCCGCCCCCGAAAUGAAUUGGCGGCCCCGUCGCGGCCUCCUCUGCGUAGUAGCACAACCUCGCAACAGGAGCGCGGCGCGGCCACUGCCGUAAAACGCACAAACUUCUCCAAGAGUUGACCUCGAAUCAGGUAGGAAUACCCGCUGAACUUAAGCAUAU
RNAcentral lists this ribosomal RNA (604 nucleotides) under Metarhizium rileyi. RNAcentral's name for it is "partial 18S ribosomal RNA". The stretch from base 217 to 369 matches the Rfam family "5.8S ribosomal RNA". Lineage: Eukaryota; Fungi; Ascomycota; Sordariomycetes; Hypocreales; Clavicipitaceae. The record is from RNAcentral.